UAGAGUUUGAUCAUGGCUCAGAACGAACGCUGGCGGCAGGCUUAACACAUGCAAGUCGAACGACAUAGUGGCAGACGGGUGAGUAACGCGUGGGAACGUACCCUUCACUACGGAAUAGCUUCUGGAAACGGAAGGUAAUACCGUAUACGCCCUUCGGGGGAAAGAUUUAUCGGUGAAGGAUCGGCCCGCGUUAGAUUAGUUUGUUGGUGGGGUAAUGGCCUACCAAGACUACGAUCUAUAGCUGGUCUGAGAGGAUGAUCAGCCACACUGGGACUGAGACACGGCCCAGACUCCUACGGGAGGCAGCAGUGGGGAAUCUUGCACAAUGGGCGAAAGCCUGAUGCAGCCAUGCCGCGUGAAUGAUGACGGCCUUAGGGUUGUAAAAUUCUUUCGCCAGGGAUGAUAAUGACAGUACCUGGUAAAGAAGCCCCGGCUAACUUCGUGCCAGCAGCCGCGGUAAUACGAAGGGGGCUAGCGUUGUUCGGAAUUACUGGGCGUAAAGCGCGCGUAGGCGGGCUAUUAAGCCAGAUGUGAAAGCCCGGGGCUCAACCCCGGAAUUGCAUUUGGAACUGGUAGCCUAGAGACCAGGAGAGGUUAGCGGAAUACCGAGUGUAGAGGUGAAAUUCGUAGAUAUUCGGUGGAACACCAGUGGCGAAGGCGGCUAACUGGACUGGUACUGACGCUGAGGCGCGAAAGUGUGGGGAGCAAACAGGAUUAGAUACCCUGGUAGUCCACACCGUAAACGAUGAAUGCUAGUUGUCUGCGCGCAUGCGUGCAGGUGACGCAGCUAACGCAUUAAGCAUUCCGCCUGGGGAGUACGGCCGCAAAGGUUAAAACUCAAAGAAAUUGACGGGGGCCCGCACAAGCGGUGGAGCAUGUGGUUUAAUUCGAAGCAACGCGCAGAACCUUACCCGCGUUUGACAUGCCCUGUUUGGUUACCAGAGAUGGUUUCCUUCAUUUAGUUGGCAGGUGCACAGGUGCUGCAUGGCUGUCGUCAGCUCGUGUCGUGAGAUGUUGGGUUAAGUCCCGCAACGAGCGCAACCCUUAUCCUUAGUUGCCAGCACGUUUGGGUGGGCACUCUAAGGAAACUGCCGGUGCUAAGCCGGAGGAAGGCGGGGAUGACGUCAAGUCCUCAUGGCCCUUACACGCGGGGCUACACACGUGCUACAAUGGCAGUGACAAUGGGAUAAUCCCAAAAAGCUGUCUCAGUUCAGAUUGUCCUCUGCAACUCGAGGGCAUGAAGUUGGAAUCGCUAGUAAUCGUGGAUCAGCAUGCCACGGUGAAUACGUUCCCGGGCCUUGUACACACCGCCCGUCACAUCAUGGGAGUUGGAUCUACCCGAAGACUGUGCGCUAACUUCGGAGGCAGCAGGCCACGGUAGGUUCAGCGACUGGGAUGAAGUCGUAACAAGGUA
This 1414-nucleotide ribosomal RNA is filed under the name Caulobacter sp. JL854. RNAcentral describes it as "16S ribosomal RNA". It matches the Rfam family "Bacterial small subunit ribosomal RNA". Lineage: Bacteria; Pseudomonadati; Pseudomonadota; Alphaproteobacteria; Caulobacterales; Caulobacteraceae. The record is from RNAcentral.